This 301-nucleotide ribosomal RNA is filed under the name uncultured bacterium. Its description in RNAcentral is "partial 16S ribosomal RNA". It matches the Rfam family "Bacterial small subunit ribosomal RNA", at positions 509 to 809 of the family's 1533-position model. The record is from RNAcentral.
CAGUAGCCACGGGAAUACAGAGGGUGCGAGCGUUAAUCGGAUUUACUGGGCGUAAAGCGUGCGUAGGCGGCUUUUUAAGUCGGAUGUGAAAUCCCUGAGCUUAACUUAGGAAUUGCAUUCGAUACUGGGAAGCUAGAGUAUGGGAGAGGAUGGUAGAAUUCCAGGUGUAGCGGUGAAAUGCGUAGAGAUCUGGAGGAAUACCGAUGGCGAAGGCAGCCAUCUGGCCUAAUACUGACGCUGAGGUACGAAAGCAUGGGGAGCAAACAGGAUUAGAUACCCGCGUAGUCCCUGUCUCUUAUAU